GUAAAUAUAGUUUAACCAAAACAUUAGAUUGUGAACCUAACUAUAGAAGCCUAUCACUUCUUAUUUACC
RNAcentral lists this transfer RNA (69 nucleotides) under Cercocebus atys atys. Its description in RNAcentral is "tRNA-His". It matches the Rfam family "tRNA". From Rfam's summary of the family: Transfer RNA (tRNA) molecules are approximately 80 nucleotides in length. Their secondary structure includes four short double-helical elements and three loops (D, anti-codon, and T loops). Lineage: Eukaryota; Metazoa; Chordata; Mammalia; Primates; Cercopithecidae. The record is from RNAcentral.